This 428-nucleotide ribosomal RNA is filed under the name uncultured bacterium. RNAcentral's name for it is "partial 16S ribosomal RNA". It matches the Rfam family "Bacterial small subunit ribosomal RNA", at positions 354 to 796 of the family's 1533-position model. The record is from RNAcentral.
GUGGGGAAUAUUGGGCAAUGGGGGAAACCCUGACCCAGCAACGCCGCGUGAGGGAAGAAGGUUUUCGGAUUGUAAACCUCUGUCCUUGGUGACGAAGGAAGUGACGGUAACCAAGGAGGAAGCCCCGGCUAACUACGUGCCAGCAGCCGCGGUAAUACGUAGGGGGCAAGCGUUGUCCGGAAUGACUGGGCGUAAAGGGCGUGUAGGCGGCCGAUUAAGUCUGGAGUGAAAGUCCUGCUUUCAAGGUGGGAAUUGCUUUGGAGACUGGUUGGCUUGAGUGCGGAAGAGGUAAGUGGAAUUCCCAGUGUAGCGGUGAAAUGCGUAGAGAUUGGGAGGAACACCAGUGGCGAAGGCGACUUACUGGACCGUUGUUGACGCUGAGGUGCGAAAGCGUGGGGAGCAAACAGGAUUAGAUACCCCGGUAGUCC